CCUACGGGAGGCUGCAGUGGGGAAUAUUGCACAAUGGGGGAAACCCUGAAGCAGCGACGCCGCGUGGGGGAAGAAGGGCCUAGGCGCGUAAAGCCCUGUUAGCAGGGGAGAAAAUGACGGUACCUGAAGAAGAAGCCACGGCUAACUACGUGACAGCAGCCGCGGUAAUACGUAGGGGGCAAGCGUUAUCCGGAUGUACUGGGUGUAAAGGGGGCGCAGACGGGGAUGAAAGACAGGAGUGAAAGCCCGGGGCCCAACCCCAGGACUGCCCUUGGAACUGCCUGGCUAGAGUGCAGGUGGGGCAGGCGGAAUUCGUGGUGUAGCGGUGAAAUGCGUAGAUAUCAGGAAGAACACCGGUGGCGAAGGCAGCCUGCUAGACUGCAACUGACAUUGAUGCCCGAAAGCGUGGGGAGCAAACAGGAUUAGAUACCCCUGUAGUC
This 440-nucleotide ribosomal RNA is filed under the name uncultured bacterium. RNAcentral describes it as "partial 16S ribosomal RNA". It matches the Rfam family "Bacterial small subunit ribosomal RNA", at positions 338 to 795 of the family's 1533-position model. The record is from RNAcentral.